Molecule: transfer RNA, 74 nt
Filed under: Candidatus Dormiibacterota bacterium
Lineage: Bacteria; Bacillati; Candidatus Dormiibacterota
Also listed under: 1 other name
Description: tRNA-Arg
Rfam family: tRNA
About the family: Transfer RNA (tRNA) molecules are approximately 80 nucleotides in length.
Source: RNAcentral
GCCCCCUUAGCUCAGUGGAUCAGAGCGGCGCCCUUCUAAGGCGACGGUCGGUGGUUCGAAUCCACCAGGGGGUA